This 497-nucleotide ribosomal RNA is filed under the name uncultured bacterium. Its description in RNAcentral is "partial 16S ribosomal RNA". It matches the Rfam family "Bacterial small subunit ribosomal RNA", at positions 28 to 507 of the family's 1533-position model. The record is from RNAcentral.
GAUGAACGCUGGCGGCGUGCCUAAUACAUGCAAGUCGAGCGAACGGACGAGAAGCUUGCUUCUCUGAUGUUAGCGGCGGACGGGUGAGUAACACGUGGAUAACCUACCUAUAAGACUGGGAUAACUUCGGGAAACCGGAGCUAAUACCGGAUAAUAUUUUGAACCGCAUGGUUCAAAAGUGAAAGACGGUCUUGCUGUCACUUAUAGAUGGAUCCGCGCUGCAUUAGCUAGUUGGUAAGGUAAGGGCUUACCAAGGCAAUGAUGCAUAGCCGACCAGGGAGAGGGAUCGGCGACACUGGAACUGAGACACGGUCCAGACUCCUACGGGAGGCAGCCGUAGGGAAUCUUGCGCGAUGGGCGAGAGCAUGACGGAGCAACGCCGCGUGAGUGAUGAAGGUCUUCGGAUCGUGAAGCUCUGUUAUUAGGGGAGAACAUAUGUGUAAGCAACUGUGCACAUCUUGACGGUACCUAAUCAGAAAGCCACGGCUAACUACGUG